Long non-coding RNA from Aedes albopictus (Asian tiger mosquito), 1219 nucleotides. RefSeq lists it as uncharacterized. Lineage: Eukaryota; Metazoa; Arthropoda; Insecta; Diptera; Culicidae. The transcript has 2 exons. The record is from RefSeq and is a predicted model, not a curated record.
AUGCAAAGGAAAGGAAAGAAAAAAGUGAAUAAGUUGAAACAUCAAUUUAAAGUCAAUAAAAUGUUUAAAUAAGUACACGAAAAGAAAUUUAAUAAUUUUCUUCAUAAGUUUCAAUUUAUGUUUUUCAUUAGAUGCGCCUUAAUUACUUUUAUAACAUCAUCUUAUUGCACUCAUUUUAGAACUUAAUAUCAUGAAUAACAUAUCCUUAUACCAUGUAUAAGUUUUGUGUUAUGGUCAAAAUGUAUAAGUUUUAACUAAUAAUUUUGUUAAGAUCGGGCUUUGAAAAAUAACCCCUUCAUAAACAAAACGGUACCGUUGUAUUUUCGAACGGAGGAAGCCAUUGUGGCUCGUUUUCUUUCGGCCAAGCUUUCAGCGCUAGCAAAUAAAAGUGAUUUAGAGGUGUGUAGCGACAUCAAAGGCAAAGAGUACUUGUAGAUUACGAGUUGAAGCCGACGGAGUUGAUUCCGGCAGGAAUCAUGAAAGCACCGGCUGAAUCGCUGCUGUCUCCCAUCUCCACAGUUCCGUCUUCGUCUCGGUCUUAGUGGUCAGCAAAAUACACGUUCCCCAGAAUUUCUUCAGCCGAAUCCUUGAACGUUUGCGGCAUUGUACGUCCGUCGCUGUCUGAGUGGAUCAGGCAAGAGCUCAAACUUCCUCUUAUAUUCGCCAUGAGAUGCCUAGAACACGAUUCCAAGAAGGCUCGUUCGAUCCCCAGAUGAUUAGUCGGGAUCCGGACUAUUUUUUUUCAAUGCUGAAGUGAUUUUAUCGAAUAAAUAAAUAUUACGCCAGACUCAAUGCUAAAUCUAUUUCCUUUAAUUCUUUUUUUAAUAAUGAAGAAAAAAAAUAAAUUAGAACCAAUAAUCAAAACAUACGACAGUAAAUUUUAUUCGAUAUGAUAAAUAAAUACUAUAUUGCGCGCAAACCCCAAAAUUUUAUUCCCACCUUUGGGUUUCCGCGCCGAAGACCCAGCGCCAGAUUCGGCGACAAAGAAAACUGACAGCAGUCGCCGGACAGUUGGCAAUCCUGAUAUUUGACGGCGGCCGCCAGGUAGUCAUGGGAGUGGAUUGUUGUCAUGCAAAUAGAUCUUUUCGCUGAAAAUGCAUGUGUAUUGAGUUAUUGUUGACAGAUUUUCUGCAGUGUUAGUGUGAAAUUCAGCGAUUUUCUGUAUCGCGUAAGCCUUCGCUGGAUGAAAACGUCAUGUUGUUCAGCGUAGCAAGGAAAA